GCGGUGGGAACAGGUCUACCCGUCAGCUUACCUAGGAUGUGCCCUGGUGGUUUGAGGUGUAGAGAAGCAAGAGAGGCCUGGUGGGAGAUUAAAGGCAGAAAUAAGGCCGCUAGGUAGCUUGCCAACUGCAAAGCCUCUAGUUGGUUCUUUACCGGUUGCCAGGAACCUCGCACCGCCGGAGGGGAGAGAGAAACUGGGUGAGCCGCACGGCACCUAAGGAGGGCUUCCCCGCCCGGCUGGGGUGGGAGAGUUGAGCUGCGGCUUCCUUCUCGAACUUCCUGGUCUUAGUCUAGCCCUAGGGAGAGGCUCGUUUGGGAAGUCACAGUUUUCAUGGGGUAGAACCUGGUGGAUUGUGUGUGAGCAGAGUUGUCCGCGCGGGCGUCGGCAGGGAGGUGUGGAAGUGUGAGGUGUGGUUUGCUGAAAUCCUUCUCUGGUCGUAAGGCUUGAGUGUUUGGUUUUUGUUUGUUCAGUGCUACAGACUGCAGCUUGUGGCCGGUGAGUUGGCAAGUCCCAGAGGGUCUCGGUUCGGCGGGAGCUAUGGGAUGGAACUAGUGCAUCGGCAGAGCAACCCAAGGGGGCAGCCAGGUCGGGGGGCAGCGCAUGCAGUGAACCGCCAUGCAGAACUCCUGGGGCUCUCUUCCCAGCCCGGGGAGCCGGGGAGAGUGCGCCAUCACGACGACAGGAGGAAGCCCAGACUGGGGUGUGCAGGAGCACGUGGCCUCGCCUUCCUGCCGUGAGCUGAGCUCGCGGAACGCACCGCAGAGUCCCCAGCACUACCGGCAGGGGUGCCAACAGUGAACUGCGGAUGGCAGCAGGAGAGUACGAGCCAGAAAACUGGCCCCUGGAACCGGCUGGCCUGCUGAGGAGACACCAUGCUCUGGAGCCUCCCCGUGCACUUAGGGGGCCCCUAGGCUUCAGCACAUCCCUCCAUCUUGCUAACCUAAAAAUUACACAGUGAGGCCGGGGAAAGCAGGCAGCAGUGACAGCAGAGGGGAACCAGGCUUCCUGGUCUCGACACAGGCUUUCCGCUGAGCGCCCACAGCGUGGCGGGCCCUGCGCACUCGCCAGAUCGCCCUGCCAGCAUCUCUGCAAGCUAGGAACAGCCACGACCCUCGUCGUACAGACAAGAAGCUGGAGACACAGAGAGGCUGCGAUUCCAGCGCAGCCCUGGAUAUGUCAGAUGAAGAUCUCACCAGACACGGCCCUAACCACCUCUCUGAAGAAGCAAGAUCCAGAAACACAGGACUGACACACAGCCUUCGGCGUCAGUUCCUUCCCACCCCUGAUGAGCAGCCAAGCUCAAAAUUUGGAAAUUCCAACAACCCACGCUCAGAAGGCCAGAACCUUCUUGUGUGUGCAGCAGUAUUGAGAUAAACCUUGAUUUCAAGAUGUCGAAAUCUGAGCUAUCUUCAUCUCUUGCCAUGUGGCUUUGUGAUACAGGAGACAAAAAAAGAAAUUUCAAGUAAGAGUAUCCGAUUUGUAAUGGAAGAGAAAUUAUAAAGCGUGUCAGGGGCCCAUCGUAAAGCAAGCUCACUGCCCAGAGGAAGAAAAGUGGCUCAAGGAAGGCCAUUCGAGAGGUCAGCUUAGGUUGAUGGGAUAAAGGAAAACACUCGUCAUUCUGGGCGGAUCGGGCCAUUUUCCAUCUCCAAAUCCCUUAAUAACCAAGGCUCUACCAAGUCAAUUUUAUGUUUGUUUCUUGCAAAGAGUUACAUUUCCUGCUCUGCUGAACAGACCCGGGGCAGUGCAGCCUGCAGUGAAUCACAUUCUCCCAAGCUGGCCUUCUACAUUCGGGACCUGCCCAAAGCAGAGAGCAACAAAAAGACGGUUUUAUAAGCCAAGAGACAACUAAAGGAAACUGCUGGUUUUCCAGACAUGCCUGGCAGCAGCAGGAAAACAACAGCAUUAUUUCUGCCCCUUGUUCACAGGAACUAGAACCAUUUUCCACGACAGAAUAAGUUAACUCCUCACAGAGACACCAUAUCAUCUCAAAAGGAAGGUGCCUGGCCAUCUAACUAACUAGUGAGGCAGUGGAGAAAAGAAAGAAAUCUAAUUACAGUACUUGGGUUGGCUCUUGGCAUGACUGGCUUGGAAACUAAAUAAAAUCUAGACCUUGUCAGGAGAGGACUACAGCCCUUUGAGCAGAGUCUCUUGUGAGGCAGGAUCAAGCCAAAGAGUGAGAAGCAGCUGGUUAUUCAGCACUUCUGGUUUUCCAGCAAGUUCCUGGGACUAAAACCACACUGACCAAAUGUUUCUGACCAACACUUACAUUUCAACAGAAGAAACAGACACUAUUCGUUAGGACAUAGUCUGGUGGAGAAACCACCUCUAAUGUUAUGAAAUGCUGCUUAGAUCUUAGGAAAGAGAGUCGUCAAUUUAAUGUUCUGAGACUGAGUCCGUUGAGAAUAAAAACCAUCUUGUCUUCAGCUGUGUAGCCCCAGACAUUGUGUCUGGCACUUGGUAGGGGGUCCACAUAACUCUAUAGGGUAGAUGUAGGGUUUGUAAACCAGUCCACAAAAUUAAAACCCUAGGUCAAUUAAAUAUUCCCCUGGGUUAAGUAAGCUUAUUUCCUUUGUGGACCAGGAUCUUAAAAUUACACAUCUCAAACCUUCACAUCGAACCGAAUCUGGCUCCGAGCCCUGGGUGUCAAGACAAAGCCAGUCCCACUUCCACACACUGCUGGUGGGAUAACUAAAGGGUACGGCCUCUAAGGAGGAAAACUCACCAACAUCUAUCAAGAUUACCAACGCCCACCAAUUCCUUUUCUAGGAAUUCAUCCUCCAGAUAGAUUCCUAAGCAUGCAAAGUGAAUGUACAAAGUCAUUUACUACAGCAACAGACUGGAAACAACGCAAACAUCCACUGAUAAAGGAGCAGUUAAAUAAGGUAUAGUCAUGUGAACGAAUGAAGAAAUACUUCGGAUCCUGCCGUGGAGCAAUCUCUAAGGCACAGCAGAGCGUGCACGGUAUGCUGUCGCCUGUAUCGAGAAGAAGGGGAAGGGCACCUCCAGCAUGGCAGGGCGAGGGCUCCCGAAAACCUGCUUCUCCACAGAAACAACACGAACACUGGCAAAAUUGUCAAGAUCAACUUUUGGGAACUCUGGAAAUUAACCAAAGUCUUGCAACAAUUCAGAGAGUGUUUAUGUAAGAAACUGUGCAAUAUUCACCACCCCUGUCUCCCCAGAUCUGCAGUAGUUUUGAAACCAACAGCCUUGUAACCAGCUGUGAAAGCCAGCACCCCGGCAACCACUGGAGGGGAGUACAUUAGGACUGCAGCCCCAGCCUCAGAAAACUGUCACUAUCUGGCCUAUCUGCUCCUCCUUGGAAAAAGACCGUCCUCAGGGCCUGUUUUUAAUGGAGCUGAUUCAGGUCUUCCUCUAGAGAAAUGCCCUAUCUCUAGACGUUUACCAAAAAAAAAAAAAAAAAAAUCAAUUGAAAACAAGAGGCCAGCUACAACACUCAGAAGGAAGUCCUGCAUAUUCCUGGGGAUCUGUAAGGACGGACGGACACACACACACACACACGCACGCACGCGCGCGCCUGUCACAUACCCAGGAGAAACCUACGAAGGCCUCAGUCUGUCAGCCACAGCUGACUGAGUGCUGAAGGUGUGCCCCCAAACACACACACACGUGCGCGCGCGCGCGUGGUUGCUCAGCAAAGGGUGGGUUCAGUGCAUUUAAGGAAAUCUCUUUCUAGUCAUUCAGCUGACCACUACCCUAACCAAGCAGAAACUUCAAUGGCUGCACAUAACAAAGGACACAGACUACAGAAUUAGCACAAGAGUCACUAAACAAAUAGCGACAACAACACACCCAGGGAGGGGAAGGGGAGCUGAUUUUCGGAGCUGCCACAUUGUACUAUUUGAAAUGUUCAGUUUUCAACAAGAAAAAAUUUACAAGACAUUCCAAGCAAGAGUAAAUAAAUAAAGUG
This is a long non-coding RNA of Mesoplodon densirostris (Blainville's beaked whale), 3928 nucleotides long. RefSeq lists it as uncharacterized. Lineage: Eukaryota; Metazoa; Chordata; Mammalia; Artiodactyla; Ziphiidae. The record is from RefSeq and is a predicted model, not a curated record. The transcript is spliced from 6 exons.